GAUGAACGCUGGCGGCGUGCCUAAUACAUGCAAGUCGAGCGAACAGACGGGGAGCUUGCUCCUCUGACGUUAGCGGCGGACGGGUGAGUAACACGUGGAUAACCUACCUAUAAGACUGGGAUAACUUCGGGAAACCGGAGCUAAUACCGGAUAAUAUAUUGAACCGCAUGGUUCAAUAGUGAAAGACGGUUUUGCUGUCACUUAUAGAUGGAUCCGCGCCGCAUUAGCUAGUUGGUAAGGUAACGGCUUACCAAGGCAACGAUGCGUAGCUGACCUGAGAGGGUGAUCGGCCACACUGGAACUGAGACACGGUCCAGACUCCUACGGGAGGCAGCAGUAGGGAAUCUUCCGCAAAGGGCGAAAGCCUGACGGAGCAACGCCGCGUGAGUGAUGAAGGUCUUCGGAUCGUAAAACUCUGUUAUUAGGGAAGAACAAAUGUGUAAGUAACUAUGCACGUCUUGACGGUACCUAAUCAGAAAGCCACGGCUAACUACGUG
RNAcentral lists this ribosomal RNA (497 nucleotides) under uncultured bacterium. RNAcentral's name for it is "partial 16S ribosomal RNA". It matches the Rfam family "Bacterial small subunit ribosomal RNA", at positions 28 to 507 of the family's 1533-position model. The record is from RNAcentral.